GACGAACGCUGGCGGCGUGCCUAAUACAUGCAAGUAGAACGCUGAAGAGAGGAGCUUGCUCUUCUUGGAAGAGUUGCGAACGGGUGAGUAACGCGUAGGUAACCUGCCUUGUAGCGGGGGAUAACUAUUGGAAACGAUAGCUAAUACCGCAUAACAAUGGAUGACACAUGUCAUUCAUUUGAAAGGGGCAACUGCUCCACUACAAGAUGGACCUGCGUUGUAUUAGCUAGUAGGUGAGGUAACGGCUCACCUAGGCGACGAUACAUAGCCGACCUGAGAGGGUGAUCGGCCACACUGGGACUGAGACACGGCCCAGACUCCUACGGGAGGCAGCAGUAGGGAAUCUUCGGCAAUGGGGGCAACCCUGACCGAGCAACGCCGCGUGAGUGAAGAAGGUUUUCGGAUCGUAAAGCUCUGUUGUAAGUCAAGAACGAGUGUGAGAGUGGAAAGU
This 451-nucleotide ribosomal RNA is filed under the name uncultured bacterium. RNAcentral describes it as "bacterial SSU rRNA". It matches the Rfam family "Bacterial small subunit ribosomal RNA", at positions 28 to 463 of the family's 1533-position model. The record is from RNAcentral.